GCCACGGUAGCUCAGUUGGUAGAGCAUAGCACUGAAAAUGCUAGGGUCCCCGGUUCGAGCCCGGGCUGUGGCACCA
This 76-nucleotide transfer RNA is filed under the name Chloroflexia bacterium SDU3-3. RNAcentral describes it as "tRNA-Phe". It matches the Rfam family "tRNA". Rfam says of the family: Transfer RNA (tRNA) molecules are approximately 80 nucleotides in length. Their secondary structure includes four short double-helical elements and three loops (D, anti-codon, and T loops). Further hydrogen bonds mediate the characteristic L-shaped molecular structure. tRNAs have two regions of fundamental functional importance: the anti-codon, which is responsible for specific mRNA codon recognition, and the 3' end, to which the tRNAs corresponding amino acid is attached (by aminoacyl-tRNA synthetases). tRNAs cope with the degeneracy of the genetic code in two manners: having more than one tRNA (with a specific anti-codon) for a particular amino acid; and 'wobble' base-pairing, i.e. permitting non-standard base-pairing at the 3rd anti-codon position. Lineage: Bacteria; Bacillati; Chloroflexota; Chloroflexia. The record is from RNAcentral.